GGGCCGUUAGCUCAGCUGGUAGAGCAGCGGACUUUUAAUCCGUUGGUCACUGGUUCGAAUCCAGUACGGCCCA
This 73-nucleotide transfer RNA is filed under the name Paraburkholderia unamae. RNAcentral describes it as "tRNA-Lys". It matches the Rfam family "tRNA". Rfam says of the family: Transfer RNA (tRNA) molecules are approximately 80 nucleotides in length. Their secondary structure includes four short double-helical elements and three loops (D, anti-codon, and T loops). The record is from RNAcentral. RNAcentral also lists the same sequence under 4 other names. Lineage: Bacteria; Pseudomonadati; Pseudomonadota; Betaproteobacteria; Burkholderiales; Burkholderiaceae.